RNAcentral lists this ribosomal RNA (406 nucleotides) under uncultured bacterium. RNAcentral's name for it is "partial 16S ribosomal RNA". It matches the Rfam family "Bacterial small subunit ribosomal RNA", at positions 29 to 526 of the family's 1533-position model. The record is from RNAcentral.
AUUGAACGCUGGCGGCAGGCCUAACACAUGCAAGUCGAGCGAGCGGCGGACGGGUGAGUAAUGUCUGGGAAACUGCCUGAUGGAGGGGGAUAACUACUGGAAACGGUAGCUAAUACCGCAUACCAUCAGAUGUGCCCAGUGGGGAUUAGCUAGUAGGUGGGGGAACGGCGCACCUAGGCGACGAUCCCUACCUGGUCUGAGAGGCUGACCAGCCACACGGGAACUGAGACACGGUCCAGACUCCUACGGGAGGCAGCAGUGGGGAAUAUUGGACAAUGGGCGAAAGCCUGAUGCAGCCAUGCCGCGUGUGUGAAGAAGGCCUUCGGGUUGUAAAGCACUUUCAGCGGGGAGGCGGUACCCGCAGAAGAAGCACCGGCUAACUCCGUGCCAGCAGCCGCGGUAAUAC